Molecule: long non-coding RNA, 307 nt
Organism: Coccinella septempunctata (seven-spotted ladybird)
Lineage: Eukaryota; Metazoa; Arthropoda; Insecta; Coleoptera; Coccinellidae
Exons: 3
Source: RefSeq, a predicted model, not a curated record
GUGAGACUAACGUGUGUAUUGAUAUGGAACGAAAUAAAUUCCAGUUUGAUUACCACUUGAUUCUUGUGGCUUUUGGUGAAAGGACAAAAUAUGAAGAAGUGACAGAUGCCGAAAUAAUACAAAGUGUUACCCAUACGGAUAUGGUUUGAUGACUUCAGAUGGUGGACGGAAUAAAAAGAUUGCCAGUAGCCAACGACAAUAUCCGUUUCAAUUAUCUGCAGAUCCUGAUGACGAAGAUAAAGAAUUCGUGUAUAUUGAUACAUAUUUUAAUGUAGUUAAUGAAAAAUGAAUAAAUUUUUUUAACUGA